RNAcentral lists this ribosomal RNA (641 nucleotides) under Micromonospora sp. I15A-00819. RNAcentral describes it as "bacterial SSU rRNA". It matches the Rfam family "Bacterial small subunit ribosomal RNA", at positions 97 to 753 of the family's 1533-position model. The record is from RNAcentral. Lineage: Bacteria; Bacillati; Actinomycetota; Actinomycetes; Micromonosporales; Micromonosporaceae.
GGCGAACGGGUGAGUAACACGUGAGUAACCUGCCCUAGGCUUUGGGAUAACCCUCGGAAACGGGGGCUAAUACCGGAUAUGACCUCCUGUCGCAUGGUGGGGGGUGGAAAGUUUUUCGGCCUGGGAUGGGCUCGCGGCCUAUCAGCUUGUUGGUGGGGUGAUGGCCUACCAAGGCGACGACGGGUAGCCGGCCUGAGAGGGCGACCGGCCACACUGGGACUGAGACACGGCCCAGACUCCUACGGGAGGCAGCAGUGGGGAAUAUUGCACAAUGGGCGGAAGCCUGAUGCAGCGACGCCGCGUGAGGGAUGACGGCCUUCGGGUUGUAAACCUCUUUCAGCAGGGACGAAGCGCAAGUGACGGUACCUGCAGAAGAAGCGCCGGCCAACUACGUGCCAGCAGCCGCGGUAAGACGUAGGGCGCGAGCGUUGUCCGGAUUUAUUGGGCGUAAAGAGCUCGUAGGCGGCUUGUCGCGUCGACCGUGAAAACUUGGGGCUCAACCCCAAGCCUGCGGUCGAUACGGGCAGGCUAGAGUUCGGUAGGGGAGACUGGAAUUCCUGGUGUAGCGGUGAAAUGCGCAGAUAUCAGGAGGAACACCGGUGGCGAAGGCGGGUCUCUGGGCCGAUACUGACGCUGAGGAG